Bombus huntii is the source of this 1563-nucleotide RNA transcript. It is a transcript of the gene named venom serine protease Bi-VSP-like, with no coding region annotated. The transcript has 7 exons. The record is from RefSeq and is a predicted model, not a curated record. NCBI's taxonomy places the organism in Eukaryota, Metazoa, Arthropoda, Insecta, Hymenoptera, Apidae.
ACCUCCACGACUUAGAUUAUAGAUUCCUAUACGACUCUCAGUAAAAAUUUAUCCGCACUCCAGAUAGUUAAAACUUCUGUCGACCGUAUUGAUCCAUCUGCACUCUUCGUAUGACGUCAAUAUCUGUUCAGUGCUGCUGCGCAGGUUUCUUUGUGUUACGUCAAUUCGUUUGUGACCGUUGCGCGAGUAAUGGCGCUUUGCAAUGGUGAUUUGCAGGAAAACAGUGCAGGAUGCUGUGAUUCGUUUCUUGUGGUCGGAGGUUAUGUUUGAUGCCUAUAUUUAUCAAAGAUUUAAUGCACAUUAUGGAGAAAGUGUUUUGUCACGAAGUGUGUUUGAAUGGGCACAAAAGUUCAAAGAAGAUCGCACAAGUGUUAUGAAAAAACAGCUGGACGCCCGUCCACAUCCCCGAUGACAACAUUGAACGUGCUCAUGAACUUAUGCUCUAUGGAAUAGACGAGUGACAGUGGAUAAUGUGGCAAAUCAUUUGCAAAUCAGCCACGGCUCUGCUUAUGCAAUAGUACACGACAGAUUUGGAUUUUAAAAAGUUUGUGCGAGAUGGAUGCCGAAAAAGCUGAUGAAAAGGUGAAGACGACGAUGCAUUCGUGGUUCGCAGCUCAGCCCAAAACAUUUUUUAAUGAGAAAAUACAAAGGUCCUUCGGCAAAUGGACAAAGUGUAUACAGAAAUCGAGUGAUUAUGUCAAAAAAUGAUGUAUGUCUUUUUUGACAAUUGCUUAAAAUAAAUUCUACACCGACAGAGCUGGUAACUUUUUACUCACCCUCGCUGUUAAUCUAGAGGCUGGAGUACAAAGAAGUGGCACAAUGAUGUGGGCUGAUGACAUUUAUAAUUAUCAAGGAAUCACCCCUACAUUCGCUCAGAAUUUUAAUGAAACUGUCCCUUGGGAAGGAAGAACUGAUACCUUGAUAUCACGGUUUGUACAUCCUAUAUAUACGACAAAUUUUAGAACAUUAUAUAACGAAGAACCAGAUCGUCGUGGCCAUGUGAUGUGAAUAAAAGGACUUGAAUUUGAUGAUAUUUUUAUAAUGUUAGAUAACAUAACUAAGUAUCUUCACAGUAAGAUAGGAUGACAUGGUUUACAUGAUCUUAAUGUUGUUCACUUGAGUGAUGAUAUUAUAAGGAAAAGUGUAAUAUCACAGGAUAUUUAUGUUUAGUAACCAGUAAUUCAGAGAUUGGUAUUCAUGGUUACUAUAACGAGGCUGUAGAAACGCACCCUUUCUUCUUUGCAAAUGGUCCUGUAUUUAUGUCUAAGCCGAAACUGGAACCUCUGAAUAAUUUAGAUUUAUUCUUGUUAUUUUCUAAAAUACUUAUCUACAGUAUACCAUAAGGAAUGAUACCGUAUCGCACCUAAUCAAGUGCCUUAAGAAACAUCAACAGGAUAUCACAGUAAUCCCUUAUCGACUGAUAUUUGUAGCCACUACAAUAUCUAUGACACUGGUAGUAAUUAUAAGAACAAUAAUGAUGUUCUAUAAGAGGAAAUGAUGAUUAGGAACAAAAACUUACAGGAGAUAUCAUGCGGUGGAUGGAUAAUAUGUAAAAAAUAUUAU